Molecule: non-coding RNA, 277 nt
Organism: Pelobates cultripes (western spadefoot toad)
Lineage: Eukaryota; Metazoa; Chordata; Amphibia; Anura; Pelobatidae
Source: the annotation of a GenBank genome assembly
UGCUUAUCUAACAUUUAUUGCAUCCUGUCUAAUUAUUACCCAGUCUGUGAUGGCUGAUAUUUGUUAGCAUGCACUAGAGGAGGUUGGAGCUAAAACUGGAUGAAAAACAAAUUGCUUAUGAUCUUUGCUGAAACUGUCAGGGGAACAAAGAUUCUAUGUAACCUGAGCCUUCAAGGUCUGUUCUCGACAUGCCAAAAUACUUUCUGCUGGAGUGGUCCCACGUGUGUCUCUGCCCAGGGGUAUAUGAAGAAAAACACGUGCCUGGGUCUGUCAUGUG